This 328-nucleotide ribosomal RNA is filed under the name uncultured eukaryote. Its description in RNAcentral is "partial 18S ribosomal RNA". It matches the Rfam family "Eukaryotic small subunit ribosomal RNA", at positions 1470 to 1796 of the family's 1831-position model. The record is from RNAcentral.
CCCUUAGAUGUCCUGGGCCGCACGCGCGUUACACUGAUGCAUUCAACGAGCUUAUAACCUUGGCCGAGAGGCCUGGGCAAUCUUGUUAACGUGCAUCGUGAUAGGGAUAGAUUAUUGAAAUUAUUAAUCUUGAACGAGGAAUUCCUAGUAAACGCAGAUCAUCAAUCUGCAUUGAUUACGUCCCUGCCCUUUGUGCACACCGCCCGUCGCACCUACCGAUUGGAUGGUCCGGUGAAGCCUCGGGAUUGUGGUUCUUGCCGCUUUAUUGUGGCGUGACCGCGAGAACUUGUCUAAACCUUAUCAUCUAGAGGAAGGUGAAGUCGUAACA